This 350-nucleotide RNase P RNA is filed under the name pig gut metagenome. RNAcentral's name for it is "Bacterial RNase P class A". It matches the Rfam family "Bacterial RNase P class A". Rfam says of the family: Ribonuclease P (RNase P) is a ubiquitous endoribonuclease, found in archaea, bacteria and eukarya as well as chloroplasts and mitochondria. Its best characterised activity is the generation of mature 5'-ends of tRNAs by cleaving the 5'-leader elements of precursor-tRNAs. The record is from RNAcentral.
AGUCGCGUAUAGCAAGUCCGAAAGGAAGCGUACGAGGAAAGUCCGGGCUCCAUAGAGCAAUGAUGCUGGAUAACGUCCAGUGAGGGAAACCUUAAGGAAAGUGCAACAGAAAAUAACCGCUAGUUAACUCCUUCUAAGGAGUGGUUAGUAAGGAUGAAAAGGCGAGGUAAGAGCUCACCGCUGGUAUGGUGACAUACUGGGUCAAUGUAAACCCCAUCUGGAGCAACACCCAAAAUAGAAGGCUAAGACUGCUCGUCAUCUUCUAAAAUGAGGUGGCUUGAGACAUAUAGUAAUAUAUGUACUAGAUAAAUGACUAUUCAAGACAGAACCCGGCUUACAGAUUUACUUAU